CUCCUACGGGAGGCAGCAGUGGGGAAUAUUGGACAAUGGGCUCACGCCCGAUCCAGCAAUAUCGCGUGGGUGAAGAAGGGCACUGUCGCUUGUCAAGCUCUUUCGUCGAGUUUCGAUCAUGACAGGACUCGAGGAAGAAGCCCCGGCUAACUCCGUGCCAGCAGCCGCGGUAAUACGGGGGGGGCAAGUGUUAUUCGGAAUGACUGGGCGUAAAGGGCACGUAGGCGGUGAAAAGGGUGGAAAGUGAAAGUCGCCAAAACACUGGCGGGGUGCUUUCUUGACCAUUUCACUUGAGUGAGAUAGGGGAGAGUGGAAUUUCGUGUGGAGGGAUCAAAUCCUAAGAUAUACGAAGGAACGCCAACCGCGAAGGCAGCUCUCUGGGUCCCCACUGACGCUGGGGUGCGAAAGCAUGGGGAGCAAACAGGAUCAGAUACCCUGGUAGUCCAUGCCGUAAGCGAUGAGUGUUCGUCCUUGGUCUGCCUGCCUACUAGGUAGGAUUAGGAUCAGGGGCCCAGCUAACGCGUGAAACACUCCGCCUGGGGAGUACGGUCGCAAGACUGAAACUCAAAGGAAUUG
Molecule: ribosomal RNA, 576 nt
Filed under: Pinus taeda (loblolly pine)
Lineage: Eukaryota; Viridiplantae; Streptophyta; Pinopsida; Pinales; Pinaceae
Description: bacterial SSU rRNA
Rfam family: Bacterial small subunit ribosomal RNA
Source: RNAcentral